GAUGAACGCUGGCGGCGUGCCUAAUACAUGCAAGUCGAGCGAACAGACGAGGAGCUUGCUCCUCUGUCGUUAGCGGCGGACGGGUGAGUAACACGUGGAUAACCUACCUAUAAGACUGGGAUAACUUCGGGAAACCGGAGCUAAUACCGGAUAAUAUAUUGAACCGCAUGGUUCAAUAGUGAAUGACGGUUUUGCUGUCACUUAUAGAUGGUUCUGCGCGGCAUUAGAUAGUUGGUAAGGUAACGGCUUACCAAGGCAACCAUGCGUAGCCGACCUGAGAGGGUGAUAGGCCACACGGGAACUUAGACACGGUCCAGACUACUACGGGAGGCAGCAGUAGGGAAUCUUCCGCAGUGGGCGAAAGCCUGACGGAGCAACGCCGCGUGAGUGAUGAAGGUCUUCGGAUCGUAAAGCUCUGUUAUUAGGGAAGAACAAAUGUGGACGUAACUAUGCACGUCUUGACGGUACCUAAUCAGAAAGCCACGGCUAACUACGUG
This 497-nucleotide ribosomal RNA is filed under the name uncultured bacterium. RNAcentral's name for it is "partial 16S ribosomal RNA". It matches the Rfam family "Bacterial small subunit ribosomal RNA", at positions 28 to 507 of the family's 1533-position model. The record is from RNAcentral.